UACAAGGUUUGUUAAUGUGGAGGAAAGAACAAACAUUGAGGGAUGGCACGCAUGUAUUUUGGUGUCAGAGAGACGGGAAAAGGAGUUAAAUACAAGGUUGGAUUUAAGUGUUAGAAGGUAAACGGUGACAUAAAGGGAGUACCAGACAACAUACAGUACGAAGAGCUGGUUAAAGAAUAUGGUUUAGACAUUUUGAGAAACUCAGGAUUCAAAGGAUAAAAAGGAAGAAAAUACUUUCACUUUCAACGGAACCCGGACUAUAUGACACCAUAAUUUCUUACAUAUGAAUAAAGACACGAAAACUGGGCUAAGAGAAGUGUAUUAGUCGAUUAUAUCGGUACUCACCUCACUACCAUCAUACUUAACGGAAGAAUAAAAAGAAAAGUACAACCUUUUUGGAUCGAGUUUUAAAAUGCAACAACCUCUAUCUCGAAUACUCCUAACAUACGCGUCCUCGCGUGGAAUUCUAAUCCAAGGCUGAUGCGCCUUUAUUCCUUACUUCGGUAUUUCCCGACAAAGCCUGUACAUGGUCACUCAACCUGCUAGAAAUAGCAGCUGAAUCGCCUUUAAAUCUCACUGAUAGCUCAAGAAAGGACACACUUGAUAAUAUCCUAGAUUUCCAAAGAAAAAAGAAAAAAAGACAGAUGGUCAAAGCUAGAACGUCUUUAAUCAUAAUUCUGAUCGAUCGAUCAGAACUGACCUGUGGCUAAGUAACAGCAUCGACCACGAGUUCAAUAUUCCUAUAUUCCCAUGUUGGCUGCUCGAGAUAUUUUCCCCCAACUCUGGAGGCGGUUAAGGCCUCCCUUCUGACUGUGUAGAUGGAAGAACAUUGUGAAACCGAUCAUGUAGUGGGCAAAGAAUACAUAUACUUACAGAAAACAUAGAACAGUUCGAAAGCUUUUGAUUCCGUAUGUAUGUAAAAUAUGUGGCGUUCCAAAUUUUUCAAAUAUUUUUGUAAUAUUUAGUCAAAUGUUUUAAGUGUUCGCUUGGGACAGUUAUACUUGCAAGUUUUAAACGAACUUAAAUGACUUAAGGAGAAAAUAAUUUGAUCAAUAUCUACCCGUAGAGUAAUAGCUAAUUGCUAUUUUCACAGAAACGUUUCUGUACACCAUCUCUGAUCAAGUCACCUGAUAAUCAAAUAAAACUAAUGGGAUUGGUGUCAGUUAAAAUGUCUUAUGCAAAAGUUGUUCGCAA
Molecule: long non-coding RNA, 1194 nt
Organism: Octopus sinensis (East Asian common octopus)
Lineage: Eukaryota; Metazoa; Mollusca; Cephalopoda; Octopoda; Octopodidae
Exons: 5
Source: RefSeq, a predicted model, not a curated record